RNAcentral lists this ribosomal RNA (473 nucleotides) under Penicillium citrinum. RNAcentral describes it as "eukaryotic LSU rRNA". The stretch from base 172 to 325 matches the Rfam family "5.8S ribosomal RNA". The record is from RNAcentral. Lineage: Eukaryota; Fungi; Ascomycota; Eurotiomycetes; Eurotiales; Aspergillaceae.
CCGUAAGGUGACCUGCGGUAGGUCAUUACCGAAGAGGCAGGCCCCUCGGGGCCCAACCUCCCACCCGUGUUGCCCGAACCUAUGUUGCCUCGGCGGGCCCCGCGCCCGCCGACGGCCCCCCUGAACGCUGUCUGAAGUUGCAGUCUGAGACCUAUAACGAAAUUAGUUUAAAACUUUCAACAACGGAUCUCUUGGUUCCGGCAUCGAUGAAGAACGCAGCGAAAUGCGAUAACUAAUGUGAAUUGCAGAAUUCAGUGAAUCAUCGAGUCUUUGAACGCACAUUGCGCCCUCUGGUAUUCCGGAGGGCAUGCCUGUCCGAGCGUCAUUGCUGCCCUCAAGCCCGGCUUGUGUGUUGGGCCCCGUCCCCCCCGCCGGGGGGACGGGCCCGAAAGGCAGCGGCGGCACCGCGUCCGGUCCUCGAGCGUAUGGGGCUUCGUCACCCGCUCUAGUAGGCCCGGCCGGCGCCAGCCGAC